GAUUAGUCACUCUUUUUCGCAUCGGUCACUAUUUUCGGUAUUUUCGGUUAUCAUUUCGGUGGCUGCAUUCUGUAUCGGUGACGUUCGACGUUUGAUAGUUCAUCAAAUAGUAGCGCUGUUAUUUGAUCAAUUUGGUCACCUGUCAGCUGCGCUACUGUUUUAGCAGCGCGUUUAGUAGCGACCGGUAAAGUGUCAAGUAAUGAUACUGCGCUGACAAACGGUUUAUACUCACCACCGAAAUGAAGCUUAUGAUAAAUAAAAUACUGCUGGUCACUGAUUGAAGAUCGUUCAGUGGCUACCAUUGGCCAAUCUCACCAACGGGAUAUAAUAAGAACUGAUGCAGGUUUAUAUCUAUAUGUAUUGUCUAUUCGGAACAAAGUUAGUACGCUUUUUAAACCGAUGUUGGAUUUUUCUCCAGAUACAGGCAACCCACUUAACUUUGGAAGUAGUGCGCUGGAUUCGUCUAAAGAUAUGCUGAACAACCGGAGGAAAAUAAAAUAAUUUGUAAAACAAUUAAUUGUAUUGUAUUUUUAUUGUAAUAUUGGAGUAUAAUGUAUUCUAAAUCCUGUUGUAUUUCUAUUGUAAAACAAUAGAAACAGUAAUUGAAAACAUUUAAAACACAAUGUUUUCUAUUGUUUUGUCGCUCGAAAUCAUCCCAUUGAAGAACCGUAAAAUCAAUUGUUUUGCUCCGAAUUUUGUAUGGAAAAUUUUCGA
Armigeres subalbatus is the source of this 714-nucleotide long non-coding RNA. RefSeq lists it as uncharacterized. The transcript is spliced from 3 exons. The record is from RefSeq and is a predicted model, not a curated record. Lineage: Eukaryota; Metazoa; Arthropoda; Insecta; Diptera; Culicidae.